AUUCAAAUAGCUUAUAUUUAGAGCGUGACACUGAAGAUGUUAAUGAGAUUUUUGUAAUCUUUGAAUA
RNAcentral lists this transfer RNA (67 nucleotides) under Panorpa dispergens. RNAcentral describes it as "tRNA-Phe". Lineage: Eukaryota; Metazoa; Arthropoda; Insecta; Mecoptera; Panorpidae. The record is from RNAcentral.